GGAAGUGCCAGCCCAGAAGGAAGUAGAGGCAAUGCCUCGUGGCCCAAGGCAGGAUGAUGGACAGAACAGGGGGUCACUCAGAUGCCAACCUGGACCCUCCCCAGAGGCCCGUAUCUACAGGCAGGACACCAAGCGGGAAUGUCCCUCAAGCCAGCGAGUCGAUGCAACUAGUAUACUAGCUAUGCCGGACCCAGGACGACCCACUCAUUCCAUCAGCAGCGUUUGUCGAAUGUCUACCACAUCCCAGAAGCGCUGCCAGCUACUUCCCUCGGGAUACAACAGGGAACAAACAGACAACAAGCCCUGUCUUCAUGGGAUUGAGUCUGAUGAGGAAGGAGACUGUCAACAAGACCAAGAGUAAAUCACUGAGGAUGGUAAUGAGCGCUACGGGGUGCGGGUGGGGGGGCGGACAGGAAAGGGGGAUGGAGAGGUUGGUGGGCAAGCCUGGAGGAGGUGAUACAGGACAGACUUGGAUAAAGGGAGGCAGCAGAGCUCCCAGGUCUG
This 504-nucleotide long non-coding RNA is filed under the name Sus scrofa (pig). Its description in RNAcentral is "lncRNA (ENSSSCG00015032292.1)". Lineage: Eukaryota; Metazoa; Chordata; Mammalia; Artiodactyla; Suidae. The record is from RNAcentral.